GGUUGCAUCACGUCGUGCAACGGUCGGCGUCUUGGUGGUGGUUGGUUAGGCGGACGCCGCUUUUAUUUCCGAAGCAGUUUGUCGGUUUGUCUCCUUGGCUGUUAUACAUUGUGGCAUCGCUGGCGUUCUAGAAGACCGGUGCCUAGACUGAUGGGCAGUAUGAACGCAUCGUUGACAUCGUACAACUUUCGUAAGAAAGAACAACGUUGUCAGUACAACUUUGUCAGCCGGGCCUCCGUGCACAGUUGAUAUCCGCCGAUCGGCCAUUAAAAUGCCGCACAACCACCUCAUAUAGUUGCCUCAGACGAAGAAAAUGAUGUUCUGCGCGUCUAUACCGACUUAACUGGUGACACACCGUCCUACAACUCACUGGGGGGAACACUGUGAUCUGAAUAUUUCGGUUACCCUGGUCCCUCAAGCUCAAUUGAAGAAGUCAUUAUGUAUUGAGGUACCUCAUCCACUACAGUGCCCUUCAAAUUCAUCAGACAUUGGUGCUCCUGGUACAGUACUGUUACCUGCUCUAAAACUGAUUUGUUGUAUUAGGAAGGGAACAGCAUGUUGAGGCACGAAAUUGUCUAGCUUAAUUUGUGUUGCUGUUCUAUCCAAUUUGCCAUCUGGGCAAUGCAUUCUGAUUGAAGCAUAA
This is a long non-coding RNA of Ornithodoros turicata, 643 nucleotides long. RefSeq lists it as uncharacterized. NCBI's taxonomy places the organism in Eukaryota, Metazoa, Arthropoda, Arachnida, Ixodida, Argasidae. The record is from RefSeq and is a predicted model, not a curated record. The transcript has 4 exons.